RNAcentral lists this ribosomal RNA (1323 nucleotides) under Rubellia nigrosignata. RNAcentral's name for it is "partial 16S ribosomal RNA". The record is from RNAcentral. Lineage: Eukaryota; Metazoa; Arthropoda; Insecta; Orthoptera; Pyrgomorphidae.
GCUUAAUUUAUAAACUUAUGGUCAGUUUUGCGUUUUAUUCGCUUAAUAAGUAUGAAUUCUGUUGAUAUUGUGGUCUAAAUGUGUUCCAGAGUUUUGUUUUGCAUGCUGUAGAGUGCAAUAAGCUAAGUUUAUGGACUCUUGAUGUUUAAAAUUUUUUAAGUACUCUUGUUUUGUGGUACCUUUUGUAUCAGGGUUAAUAAAAAUUUUUGUUUUGAUUUUACUUAUCUCGAUUUAUGUUGAUUUAUGAUUUAAUUAUUUUUUAUUGUAUUAUAAAUAUUUAUAAUUUGAUUAUAGAAAUGAAAUGUUAUUCGUUUCCUAAGGUAUCUAGUUUUUCAAGAAAAAAUUUAAUUUUUUAUGGUUUAUUGGUUUAUUACAAAUUUUUGUUUAUUAAUUAUUUUCCUAUUAAUUCUUUAUUUUUUUUUCUUUUUUAUUGAUUUCUUCAAUAUUCUUCCUAUUCAAAAUUAGUGUUUCUGCCCCGUAUAGACAUUCUGGUUUAAUUACUGUGUUGUAGUGCCUCAGUUUUGUGUUUUUUGAUAUGCAUUUUUUGUUAUAGAUGUUUUGUGUGAGUCUCAAUGCAGUUUCCAUCUUUUGUGAAAUAAUUAUUGAAUUAGUAUAUUCUUUUGUAUAUUUUAUUUAGAUUUAAAUUUUAUUUUAAGGAAUUAGGCAAAAAUUUUCUUCGCCUGUUUAUCAAAAACAUGUCUUUUUGAUUAUAAUUUAAGGUYUURCCUGCUCACUGAAUAAUUUUUAAAGAGGCGCGUAACUAUGACUCUCCAAAGGUAGCAUAAUGCCUCGUCAUCUAAUUAGUGACGCGCAUGAAUGGAUUAACGAGAUUCCCGCUGUCCCAAUAUAAUUGAUAAAAUUUAACUUUUAAGUUAAAAGGCUUAAAUUUCACUUUAGGACGAGAAGACCCUAUAGAACUUUAUAUAAAAUUUAUUAUCAUUUUGUUGCUAAUUUGUUAUGUUUAUAGUUUAAUAUAUUUUGUUGGGGUGAUGUAAAGAAUAGUUAAACUCUUUAUUUAAGAUGUCAUUAAUUUAUGAAAGAUUGAUCCAUAUUUUGUGAUUAAAAGAUUAAGUUACCUUAGGGAUAACAGCGUAAUUAUUUUUUAGAGUUCAUAUCAACAAAUUAGAUUGCGACCUCGAUGUUGGAUUAAGAUAAGUUUUAGGUGUAUCAGUUUAAAUACUAGGUCUGUUCGACCUUUAAAAUCUUACAUGAUCUGAGUUCAAACCGGUGUAAGCCAGGUUGGUUUCUAUGCUGAGUUUUUAUUUUAUAUUAGUACGAAAGGACCAUAUAGUUGAAAUAUUUUUUAUUUAUUGAAAUUAAUUU